CAGCCGCCGCGGUAAAACCAGCACCUCAAGUGGUCAGGAUGAUUAUUGGGCCUAAAGCAUCCGUAGCCGGAUCUGUAAGUUUUCGGUUAAAUCUAUGCGCUCAACGUAUAGGCUGCCGGAAAUACUGCAGAUCUAGGGAGUGGGAGAGGUAGACGGUACUCGGUAGGAAGAGGUAAAAUUCACUAAUCUAUCGAUGACCACCUGUGGCGAAGGCGGUCUACCAGAACACGUCCGACGGUGAGGGAUGAAAGCUGGGGGAGCAAACCGGAUUAGAUACCCGGGUAGUCCCAGCUGUAAACAAUGCAAACUCGAUGAUGCAUCGGGUUGAACCCGGUGCAGUGUUGCAGGGAAGCCGUUAAGUUUGCCGCCUGGGAAGUACGUACGCAAGUAUGAAACUUAAAGGAAUUGGCGGGGGAGCAC
RNAcentral lists this ribosomal RNA (420 nucleotides) under uncultured crenarchaeote. RNAcentral's name for it is "bacterial SSU rRNA". It matches the Rfam family "Archaeal small subunit ribosomal RNA", at positions 459 to 879 of the family's 1478-position model. Lineage: Archaea; Thermoproteati; Thermoproteota. The record is from RNAcentral.